Molecule: microRNA precursor, 58 nt
Filed under: Gyrodactylus salaris (gyrodactylosis fluke)
Lineage: Eukaryota; Metazoa; Platyhelminthes; Monogenea; Gyrodactylidea; Gyrodactylidae
Description: microRNA gsa-mir-153 precursor
Gene: gsa-mir-153
Source: miRBase by way of RNAcentral
CCUGCUUGUGGGGCUGUAUGCAAUCGCUAGACGGAUUGCAUAGCCUUAUUAGUGGCCU